UGUUGAAGACUCCAGAAAGAGUAGAAGGCUCCAGAACGUGUUUUAAGAGAAGGCCCCAGAACGUGUUUUUAGCAUAAUGGGUAACCAAGAAAGUGUCCCGAAGGGCUAUUGUUCACCUGAACAAUACGUGGCGGACCGGAGAGGAAAACGUCAUGUUAAAAGAUUGGGCCAGUUAGAAAAAAGUUAUGAUAUUGCAAAAGGGGGUA
Bufo bufo (common toad) is the source of this 206-nucleotide long non-coding RNA. RefSeq lists it as uncharacterized. Lineage: Eukaryota; Metazoa; Chordata; Amphibia; Anura; Bufonidae. The transcript has 4 exons. The record is from RefSeq and is a predicted model, not a curated record.